RNAcentral lists this ribosomal RNA (497 nucleotides) under uncultured bacterium. Its description in RNAcentral is "partial 16S ribosomal RNA". It matches the Rfam family "Bacterial small subunit ribosomal RNA", at positions 28 to 507 of the family's 1533-position model. The record is from RNAcentral.
GAUGAACGCUGGCGGCGUGCCUAAUACAUGCAAGUCGAGCGAACAGACGAGGAGCUUGCUCCUCUGACGUUAGCGGCGGACGGGUGAGUAACACGUGGAUACCCUACCUAUAAGACUGGGAUAACUUCGGGAAACCGGCGCUAAUACCGGAUAAUAUAUUGAACCGCAUGGUUCAAUAGUGAAAGACGGUUUUGCUGUAACUUAUAGAUGGAUCCGCGCCGCAUUAGCUAGUUGGUAAGGUAACGGGUUAUCAAGGCAACGAUGCGUAGCCGACCUGAGAGGGGGAUCGGCCACACUGGAACUGAGACACGGUCCAGACUCCUAAGGGAGGCAGCAGUAGGGAAUCUUCCGCAAUAGGCGAAAGCCUGACGGAGCAACGCCGCGUGAGUGAUGAAGGUCUUCGGAUCGUAAAACUCUGUUAUUAGGGAAGAACAGAUGUGUAAGUAACUAUGCACGUCUUGACGGUACCUAAUCAGAAAGCCACGGCUAACUACGUG